RNAcentral lists this long non-coding RNA (1101 nucleotides) under Piliocolobus tephrosceles (Ugandan red Colobus). RNAcentral describes it as "lncRNA (ENSPTEG00000015873.1)". The record is from RNAcentral. Lineage: Eukaryota; Metazoa; Chordata; Mammalia; Primates; Cercopithecidae.
GGGCACUUUUCCGGGCUCCGAGGUCCUCCUGCAGGUGCGGCCGGUGCAUUAGGAAGGCUGUCCCCACAGGGUCCCGGCGCCCGGCCUCUCCCGCCGCCACUAUCUCAAGUGGACACUCCCGGAACACCCGUGUUCUUCCCCAUCCCCCGGGCCCGAGGCGCAGGGGGCGCGGGUGAGGGGAACCCUGGCUUACCAGCAAGAGGGGCGCGGAGCGCAACCCGGCAGCAGGCGCGGUCCCCGGGGGCCUCGGUGGGGGCUUCCUCCGCGUCGUUCUCGGCCCGACCCCGGCCGCCCGGCUGCUCCGGUUCCCUCCGCUGCAGCCGGCCGGGCGGCACGGGGGCACUCGCGGUGGCUCCGCUCCGGCGCCGCCGCCUCCUACUGCCCGCCUGCCGCCCUGGCGCUCCUGGGCUCGGAGUCCGGGGUUCUGAGACGCGGGGGUCGUCGGGGCGUUCGAGACUAUCGGGGACGCUAAGGCUGCACUCGGACUCUCCCGCGCGCGGCCCCGCGCCGGGGGACGCCUCGCUCGAGGCGCGCGGGCGUCAAAGGCUCGGGGCGCGCGGGGGCGGCGGCCGGGUGGGCCCCGGGGCGGCGGGCAGGGGCGCUGCUGCGGACGCGGGCACUGAUGCGGGCGCCGCGGCGCGGCCUCUCGCCAUGGCUCCCCGGCGAGCGGGCGGCUCGCACCUCCCCUCCGCGCUGCCGUCACCGCCCGACGCGCGCCGAGCCCUCCCCCUUCCCGGCCCCGCCCGCCGCCCCGCGCCGCCACCUGCGGGCCGCCCUCCGGGAUUCCCGCCGACCACGUCCCAGUCGUCCGGAGCCGCGCCCCGCCUUCCUCGCCCGUGGCCGCCCCUGCACUUUUACCCACGCCGUGGGGCACAGAGAAGUAUCCGGGGUCAUAGAGGACAUUGGGAGGACUUGAAGAAGAAGAAGACCAGAACCAAAGGUGUAAGGAAACUAAACCCUACAAAACCUGAUUUCUCAUACUGGCAUAGACGACUUGAAGAGAUCAUCAAGUGUAUAGUGAAGAUUGGUUCAGGCAAGAAUCAUCCAUGGAUGCUUACUCUAGGGGGCUGUUACUGGCUGACAGAUAUUUGUCUGGGUUGA